Molecule: ribosomal RNA, 492 nt
Filed under: uncultured bacterium
Lineage: Bacteria
Description: partial 16S ribosomal RNA
Rfam family: Bacterial small subunit ribosomal RNA
Source: RNAcentral
AGUGAACGCUGGCGGUAGGCCUAACACAUGCAAGUCGAACGGCAGCACAGUAAGAGCUUGCUCUUACGGGUGGCGAGUGGCCGACGGGUGAGGAAUACAUCGGAAUCUACUUUUUCGUGGGGGGUAACGUAGGGAAACUUACGCUAAUACCGCAUACGACCUACGGGUGAAAGCAGGGGAUCUUCGGACCUUGCGCGAUUGAAUGAGCCGAUGUCGGAUUAGCUAGUUGGCGGGGUAAAGGCCCACCAAGGCGACGAUCCGUAGCUGGUCUGAGAGGGUGAUCAGCCACACUGGAACUGAGACACGGUCCAGACUCCUACGGGAGGCAGCAGUGGGGAAUAUUGGACAAUGGGCGCAAGCCUGAUCCAGCCAUACCGCGUGGGUGAAGAAGGCCUUCGGGUUGUAAAGCCCUUUUGUUGGGAAAGAAAAGCAGCAGGUUAAUACCCCGCUGUUCUGACGGUACCCAAAGAAUAAGCACCGGCUAACUUCGUG